Molecule: ribosomal RNA, 373 nt
Filed under: uncultured bacterium
Lineage: Bacteria
Description: bacterial SSU rRNA
Rfam family: Bacterial small subunit ribosomal RNA
Source: RNAcentral
GGAGGUGGCAAGCGUUGUUCGGAAUUACUGGGCGUAAAGGGCGCGUAGGCGGCUUGGCAAGUCAGGUGUGAAAGCCCCGGGCUUAACUCGGGAACUGCAUCUGAAACUGCCUUGCUUGAGUCCUGGAGGGGGUAGUGGAAUUCCCAGUGUAGCGGUGAAAUGCGUAGAUAUUGGGAGGAACACCGGUGGCGAAGGCGGCUACCUGGACAGUGACUGACGCUGAGGCGCGAAAGCUAGGGGAGCGAACGGGAUUAGAUACCCCGGUAGUCCUAGCUGUAAACUAUGGGCACUUGGUGUCGGGGGUAUUGAGUCCCCCGGUGCCGGAGUUAACACGUUAAGUGCCCCGCCUGGGGAGUACGGUCGCAAGACUGAA